AUUGAACGCUGGCGGCAUGCUUUACACAUGCAAGUCGAGCGGCAGCGCGGGGGCAACCCUGGCGGCGAGCGGCGAACGGGUGAGUAAUGCAUCGGAACGUGUCCCGGAGUGGGGGAUAACCCGGCGAAAGCCGGGCUAAUACCGCAUAUUCUGUGCGCAGGAAAGUGGGGGAUCCGCAAGGGCCUCACGCUUGGGGAGCGGCCGAUGUCCGAUUAGCUAGUUGGUGAGGUAACGGCUUACCAAGGCGACGAUCGGUAGCUGGUCUGAGAG
This 270-nucleotide ribosomal RNA is filed under the name uncultured bacterium. RNAcentral describes it as "partial 16S ribosomal RNA". It matches the Rfam family "Bacterial small subunit ribosomal RNA", at positions 28 to 298 of the family's 1533-position model. The record is from RNAcentral.